CUUUAACUGAGGUUCUCCAUCAUCCCCAAAACACACAAACGACCUAGUCUGAAUAGGAACUUGACUUGGUGAAAACCUCCGUAACCGAGGAAGACUAUCCACAGACCGAGGGGGCGUCAGUGUUCGAUUCAAAGGAACACUUACUACCUCCUUGUGGACGAACAACACGAGGCUGAACAAAUGAUGGCUUCACAACUUCAAACCACCAGAAGAGUUCUGCCAUGAACACCAAAUAAUUACUCUACAUAAGAGAGUUUUGUCUCAAGUCCUGGGACCUGAACGAUUCCUUCUUCUGGACAUAUUCCAUGGUCCUGUUGAGCGGUGAAAGUGACCAGAACCUCCUUUAUGCUCCUUCCUUUAUGCUGUACUGGCAUCUACCUAAGACUCAGAAACAUGUAGUGGCUUAUCCUCCAUUGUGCUAACAUUAGGGCAAUAGAUCAAUUUUGUACUAUAACUUUAAGUUUAGCUUUAUAUUGUAAAAGAAACCUAUAGCUAACAGUGUAUUUAAACACACACACACACACACACACACAAACACACACACACACACACACACACACACAGACA
Prionailurus viverrinus (fishing cat) is the source of this 567-nucleotide long non-coding RNA. RefSeq lists it as uncharacterized. The record is from RefSeq and is a predicted model, not a curated record. NCBI's taxonomy places the organism in Eukaryota, Metazoa, Chordata, Mammalia, Carnivora, Felidae. The transcript has 3 exons.